This 459-nucleotide ribosomal RNA is filed under the name uncultured bacterium. RNAcentral describes it as "partial 16S ribosomal RNA". It matches the Rfam family "Bacterial small subunit ribosomal RNA", at positions 338 to 795 of the family's 1533-position model. The record is from RNAcentral.
CCUACGGUUGGCAGCAGUGAGGAAUAUUGGUCAAUGGGCGCGAGCCUGAACCAGCCAAGUCGCGUGAGGGAAGACGGUCCUAUGGAUUGUAAACCUCUUUUUUCGGGGCGCAAAAGACGCCACGCGUGGCGUUCCGAGCGUACACGUAGAAAAAGCAUCGGCUAACACCGUGCAAGCAGCCGCGGUAAUACGGAGGAUGCGAGCGUUAUCCGGAUUUAUUGGGUGUAAAGGGUGCGCAGGAGGAAGAAAAAGUCAGCGGUAAACUUGAGAGGCUCAACCUCGUCGAGCCGUUGAAACUGGUUUUCUUGAGUGAGUGAGAAGUAUGCGGAAUGCGUGGUGUAGCGGUGAAAUGCAUAGAUAUCACGCAGAACUCCGAGUGCGAAGGCAGCAUACCGGCGCUCAACUGACGCUCAUGCACGAAAGUGUGGGUAUCGAACAGGAUUAGAUACCCGUGUAGUC